UACGUAGGGUGCAAGCGUUGUCCGGAAUUAUUGGGCGUAAAGAGCGUGUAGGCGGCCCGAUUAGUCCGCUGUGAAAGUCCAGGGCUCAACCCUGGAAUGCCGGUGGAUACUGUCGGGCUAGAGUCCGGAAGGGGCGAGUGGAAUUCCUGGUGUAGCGGUGAAAUGCGCAGAUAUCGGGAGGAACACCAGUGGCGAAGGCGGUUGCCUGGAGCUUUGCUGACGCUGAGGCGCGAAAGCCAGGGGAGCAAACGGG
RNAcentral lists this ribosomal RNA (253 nucleotides) under uncultured bacterium. RNAcentral describes it as "partial 16S ribosomal RNA". It matches the Rfam family "Bacterial small subunit ribosomal RNA", at positions 524 to 776 of the family's 1533-position model. The record is from RNAcentral.